Molecule: non-coding RNA, 30 nt
Filed under: Homo sapiens (human)
Lineage: Eukaryota; Metazoa; Chordata; Mammalia; Primates; Hominidae
Source: RNAcentral
GGAAAGAACUGGAGGAAUAGGAUUGGUAUC